RNAcentral lists this ribosomal RNA (464 nucleotides) under uncultured bacterium. RNAcentral describes it as "partial 16S ribosomal RNA". It matches the Rfam family "Bacterial small subunit ribosomal RNA", at positions 339 to 795 of the family's 1533-position model. The record is from RNAcentral.
CUACGGGUGGCAGCAGUGGGGAAUAUUGCACAAUGGGCGCAAGCCUGAUGCAGCCAUGCCGCGUGUAUGAAGAAGGCCUUCGGGUUGUAAAGUACUUUCAGCGGGGAGGAGGGGAGUAAAGUUAAUACCUUUGCUCAUUGACGUUACCCGCAGAAGAAGCACCGGCUAACUCCGUGCCAGCAGCCGCGGUAAUACGGAGGGUGCAAGCGUUAAUCGGAAUUACUGGGCGUAAAGCGCACGCAGGCGGUUUGUUAAGUCAGAUGUGAAAUCCCCGGGCUCAACCUGGGAACUGCAUCUGGUACUGGCAAGCUUGAGUCUCGUAGAGGGGGGUAGAAUUCCAGGUGUAGCGGUGAAAUGCGUAGAGAUCUGGAGGAAUACCGGUGGCGAAGGCGGCCCCCUGGAUGAAGACUGACGCUCAGGUGCGAAAGCGUGGGGAGCAAACAGGAUUAGAUACCCCGGUAGUC